RNAcentral lists this transfer RNA (70 nucleotides) under Dopasia gracilis (Burmese glass lizard). RNAcentral describes it as "tRNA-His". It matches the Rfam family "tRNA". Rfam says of the family: Transfer RNA (tRNA) molecules are approximately 80 nucleotides in length. Lineage: Eukaryota; Metazoa; Chordata; Lepidosauria; Squamata; Anguidae. The record is from RNAcentral. RNAcentral also lists the same sequence under 1 other name.
GUAAACAUAGUUUAAGAUAAGACAUUAGUCUGUGGACCUAAAAAUAGAAGCUAAAACCUUCUUGUAUACC